Molecule: ribosomal RNA, 497 nt
Filed under: uncultured bacterium
Lineage: Bacteria
Description: partial 16S ribosomal RNA
Rfam family: Bacterial small subunit ribosomal RNA
Source: RNAcentral
GACGAACGCUGGCGGCGUGCCUAAUACAUGCAAGUUGAGCGCUGAAGGUUGGUACUUGUACCAACUGGAUGAGCAGCGAACGGGUGAGUAACGCGUGGGGAAUCUGCCUUUGAGCGGGGGACAACAUUUGGAAACGAAUGCUAAUACCGCAUAAAAACUUUAAACACAAGUUUUAAGUUUGAAAGAUGCAAUUGCAUCACUCAAAGAUGAUCCCGCGUUGUAUUAGCUAGUUGGUGAGGUAAAGGCUCACCAAGGCGAUGAUACAUAGCCGACCUGAGAGGGUGAUCGGCCACAUUGGGACUGAGACACGGCCCAAACUCCUACGGGAGGCAGCAGUAGGGAAUCUUCGGCAAUGGACGAAAGUCUGACCGAGCAACGCCGCGUGAGUGAAGAAGGUUUUCGGAUCGUAAAACUCUGUUGGUAGAGAAGAACGUUGGUGAGAGUGGAAAGCUCAUCAAGUGACAGUAACUACACAGAAAGGGACGGCUAACUACGUG